Molecule: transfer RNA, 73 nt
Filed under: bacterium
Lineage: Bacteria
Also listed under: 1 other name
Description: tRNA-OTHER
Source: RNAcentral
GGGGCAAUGGAGUCAAUUAGUAGCUUGACUCGUUGGCAGCCAUCCGUGGAUUCAAAUUCUGUUUGCUCCACCA